This 465-nucleotide ribosomal RNA is filed under the name uncultured bacterium. RNAcentral describes it as "partial 16S ribosomal RNA". It matches the Rfam family "Bacterial small subunit ribosomal RNA", at positions 338 to 795 of the family's 1533-position model. The record is from RNAcentral.
CCUACGGGAGGCAGCAGUAGGGAAUCUUCCACAAUGGGCGAAACCCUGAUGGAGCAACGCCGCGUGGGUGAAGAAGGUCUUCGGAUCGUAAAACCCUUUUGUUAGAGAAGAAAAUGCGUGAGAGUAACUGUUCACGUUUCGACGGUAUCUAACCAGAAAGCCACGGCUAACUACGUGCCAGCAGCCGCGGUAAUACGGAGGUGGCAAGCGUUAUCCGGAUUUACUGGGCGUAAAGGGAACGAAGGCGGUCUUUUAAGUCGGAUGUGAAAGCCUUCGGCUUAACCGGAGUAGUGCAUUGGAAACUGGGAGACUUGAGUGCAGAAGAGGAGAGUGGAACUCGAUGUGUAGCGGUGAAAUGCGUAGAUAUAUGGAAGAACACCAGUGGCGAAAGCGGCUCUCUGGACUGUAACUGACGCUGAGGUUCGAAAGCGUGGGUAGCAAACAGGAUUAGAUACCCCGGUAGUC